Molecule: ribosomal RNA, 468 nt
Filed under: uncultured bacterium
Lineage: Bacteria
Description: partial 16S ribosomal RNA
Rfam family: Bacterial small subunit ribosomal RNA
Source: RNAcentral
GACGAACGCUGGCGGCGUGCUUAACACAUGCAAGUCGAACGGAAAGGCCCUGCUUUUGUGGGGUGUUCGAGUGGCGAACGGGUGAGUAACACGUGAGUAACCUGCCCUUGACUUUGGGAUAAUUUCAGGAAACCGGGGCAAAUACCGGAUAUGACCUCUUGCACCACGGGGUGGUGUGGAAAGUUUCGGCCGUUGGGGAUGGACUCGGGGCUUAUCGGCCUGCCGGUGGGGUUGUGGCUUGCCAAGGCUUUGACGGGUAGCCGGCCUGAGAGGGUGGCCGGCCACAUUGGGCCGGAGAUACGGCCCAGACGCCUACGGGAGGCAGGAGUGGGGAAUAUUGCACAGUGGGAGGAAGGCUGAGGCGGCGACGCCGGGUGCGGGAUGACAGCCUCCGGGUGAUAAACCGCUUGCGCCUGUGAUGAAGGGUGAGUGACGGUAAUGGGAGAAGAAGCACCGGCUAACUACGUG